RNAcentral lists this ribozyme (116 nucleotides) under Aedes aegypti (yellow fever mosquito). RNAcentral's name for it is "drz-agam-1 ribozyme". It matches the Rfam family "drz-agam-1 ribozyme". Lineage: Eukaryota; Metazoa; Arthropoda; Insecta; Diptera; Culicidae. The record is from Rfam by way of RNAcentral.
UGCUCAGCAACUCCUAUCCCUACCUCCUCGCUGUACUGGCCGGGGUACGAGCAACCUAAGGGAAGAUUGGGUAACCAACCCCGGUGGGAACUCUGGUUGUAUGCUAACACGGAAGG